UGGGGAAUUUUGGACAAUGGGCGCAAGCCUGAUCCAGCCAUUCCGCGUGCAGGAUGAAGGCCUUCGGGUUGUAAACUGCUUUUGUACGGAACGAAACGGCCUUCUCUAAUACAGAGGGCUAAUGACGGUACCGUAAGAAUAAGCACCGGCUAACUACGUGCCAGCAGCCGCGGUAAUACGUAGGGUGCAAGCGUUAAUCGGAAUUACUGGGCGUAAAGCGUGCGCAGGCGGUUAUGUAAGACAGUUGUGAAAUCCCCGGGCUCAACCUGGGAACUGCGUUUGUGACUGUGUUGCUAGAGUGUAGCAGAGGGGGUGGAAUUCCACGUGUAGCAGUGAAAUGCGUAGAGAUGUGGAGGAACACCGAUAGCGAAGGCAGCUUACUAGACUGUAACUGACGCUGAGGCACGAAAGUGUGGGGAUCAAACAGGAUUAGAUACCCGUGUAGUCCCUGAGCGGGCUGGCAAGGCGCAU
Molecule: ribosomal RNA, 471 nt
Filed under: uncultured bacterium
Lineage: Bacteria
Description: bacterial SSU rRNA
Rfam family: Bacterial small subunit ribosomal RNA
Source: RNAcentral